GAUGAACGCUGACAGAAUGCUUAACACAUGCAAGUCUACUUGAACUUCGGUUUGGGUGGCGGACGGGUGAGUAACGCGUAAAGAACUUGCCUCACAGAUAGGGACAACAUUUGGAAACGAAAGCUAAUACCUGAUAUUAUGAUACUAGGGCAUCCUAGAAUUAUGAAAGCUAUAUGCACUGUGAGAGAGCUUUGCGUCCCAUUAGCUAGUUGGAGAGGUAACGGCUCACCAAGGCGAUGAUGGGUAGCCGGCCUGAGAGGGUGAUCGGCCACAAGGGGACUGAGACACGGCCCUUACUCCUACGGGAGGCAGCAGUGGGGAAUAUUGGACAAUGGACCAAGAGUCUGAUCCAGCAAUUCUGUGUGCACGAUGAAGUUUUUCGGAAUGUAAAGUGCUUUCAGUUGGGAAGAAAAAAAUGACGGUACCAACAGAAGAAGUGACGGCUAAAUACGUG
This 454-nucleotide ribosomal RNA is filed under the name uncultured bacterium. Its description in RNAcentral is "partial 16S ribosomal RNA". It matches the Rfam family "Bacterial small subunit ribosomal RNA", at positions 28 to 507 of the family's 1533-position model. The record is from RNAcentral.